Molecule: ribosomal RNA, 467 nt
Filed under: uncultured bacterium
Lineage: Bacteria
Description: partial 16S ribosomal RNA
Rfam family: Bacterial small subunit ribosomal RNA
Source: RNAcentral
GACGAACGCUGGCGGCGUGCUUAACACAUGCAAGUCGAACGGAAAGGCCCUGCUUUUGUGGGGUGCUCGAGUGGCGAACGGGUGAGUAACACGUGAGUAACCUGCCCUUGACUUUGGGAUAACUUCAGGAAACUGGGGCUAAUACCGGAUAGGAGCUCCUGCUGCAUGGUGGGGGUUGGAAAGUUUCGGCGGUUGGGGAUGGACUCGCGGCUUAUCAGCUUGUUGGUGGGGUAGUGGCUUACCAAGGCUUUGACGGGUAGCCGGCCUGAGAGGGUGACCGGCCACAUUGAAACGUGGAUACGGCCCAGAUCCUUGAGGGGGGAGGGGGUGGGGAAUUUUGAAAAAUGGGCAGAAGCAUGUUAAACCAACGCCGCGUGCGGGAAAACGGCCUUGGGGUGAAAAACCGCUUUUGCCUGUGGCGGCGCAUAAGUGAGUGUAAUGGGAAAAGAACCGCCGGCGAACCACGU